Molecule: ribosomal RNA, 253 nt
Filed under: uncultured bacterium
Lineage: Bacteria
Description: partial 16S ribosomal RNA
Rfam family: Bacterial small subunit ribosomal RNA
Source: RNAcentral
UACGUAGGUGGCGAGCGUUAUCCGGAUUUACUGGGCGUAAAGCGCUUGUAGGCGGCUUCGUAAGUUGGGCGUGAAAGCUCCGGGCUUAACCCGGAGAGGCCGUCCAAUACUGCGGGGCUCGAGGGUGCCAGAGGAAGGUGGAAUUCCUGGUGGAGCGGUGAAAUGCGUAGAUAUCAGGAGGAACACCCGUGGCGAAGGCGGCUUUCUGGGGCAUCCCUGACGCUGAGAAGCGAAAGCUAGGGGAGCAAACAGG